CUGGAAACGGUGGCUAAUACCGCAUAACGUCGCAAGACCAAAGAGGGGGACCUUCGGGCCUCUCACUAUCGGAUGAACCCAGAUGGGAUUAGCUAGUAGGUGGGGUAACGGCUCACCUAGGCGACGAUCCCUAGCUGGUCUGAGAGGAUGACCAGCCACACUGGAACUGAGACACGGUCCAGACUCCUACGGGAGGCAGCAGUGGGGAAUAUUGCACAAUGGGCGCAAGCCUGAUGCAGCCAUGCCGCGUGUAUGAAGAAGGCCUUCGGGUUGUAAAGUACUUUCAGCGGGGAGGAAGGGAUGAAGCUUAAUACGCUUCGUCAUUGACGUUACCCGC
RNAcentral lists this ribosomal RNA (337 nucleotides) under Pantoea brenneri. Its description in RNAcentral is "bacterial SSU rRNA". It matches the Rfam family "Bacterial small subunit ribosomal RNA", at positions 150 to 482 of the family's 1533-position model. The record is from RNAcentral. Lineage: Bacteria; Pseudomonadati; Pseudomonadota; Gammaproteobacteria; Enterobacterales; Erwiniaceae.